UUAAAAUAAAAAUUUAUAUAAAAAUAUGAUUCAACUUAAACUUACUUUUUUUUAAAAAAAAAAUAAUAAUAAUUGUAUUAACAACUAAAGUAAAUGAUAAUUAGUGGUUUAAUUAAAAGAAGUUACGUAUUCAGCGGCCGGUUGUACACGGUUGAAGCAGCGGGAAGGCGAGAACAGAGUCCAUGAAUUGUGCAGGCAGAGCUUCCAGGUAAAGUCAAUCACGUUGAUGAUGGGGCCAAGAGAAGCCAUAAAAACCUAACAUGCAAGCAAUGGAUAGAUUCAUCACGUAAAGAUAGAGGCUAAGCAUAUUUGCUUUUUCCUCCUCUAUCAACUCCUCUACACUCGUCACUUCGUGUUUAUAUAACAAACUCCCUCCAACCAUAAAUGCUCACAAAUGAGAAGACAAAUAUGGAAAACCAAGUUCCACAGUCUAAAAAUCCUGAAUCCAAAGAAUCCAAACUCAUUAUCAUCACCGGUGAAUUUGUCAUCAGUCUGAGUCCCACGCUACGGAUUCCUGAUAAUUCAGUUGUUGUUCAGAUUUGCAGCGCCACUGAAGUCAAUACAGGCAAGUAGAGUUUUUACUUGCUGAUAUCAGAAUUUUUGCAUUUUGGUACUUGUAAUUCAAUAUGGUUUCUAUUUUUCAAGUACAGUAACCAAGAAAGGAAAAGUAGGCGAGAAAACAUCCCUCAAGCGGGGAAGUAACAAGAAAAAGAUGGGCAAACGAAUUGUAACAUAUACAAGAAAUUUCCGGGUUAACUCAGAGUUUGGAACCCCGGGAGCUUUCCUGAUAACAAACAAGCAUAAGCACAAAAUUUUCCUUGAAUCCGCCGCUCUGUAUAUUCCCAAACAAGACCCGAGUUUUGAUGGUGAGUACGAAGUUAUCCAUUUCUACUGUGGCUCAUGGAUAUAUCCGAUCAAGCUUGCAGUGGAUCCAAGGGUUUUCUUCUCAAAUACUGUAAGUUAUCCCUUCAUGGAAAAUUCCUUUAGUUUUCUCUCCAAUGGGAAUAAUAUUAUAAAAAAAAAAACUAAUUAAUAUGUUAUUGUACUUGAGCAAGUGUUACCUUCCAAAGGAAACACCUAGUGGUCUAUCGAGAUGGAGGAGCAAAGAACUCGAAAACUUGAGGGGAGAUGGAUCCGGGGAGAGGAAGGAAUGGGAAAGAAUCUAUGACUAUGAUGUAUACAAUGAUCUUGGUAAUCCUGAUAAAAGUGAUCAACAUAUUAGACCUGUUUUGGGAGCAUCUGAAUCAUACCCUUAUCCCCGUCGGCUAAGAACAGGUCGACCACCUUCCGUCAAAGGUAUACAUUCUCACCCAACAAUUUCUUUUAUACAAUAUAUGUAUAUAUAGAAUAUCAUAUAUGUUUUAUGAGUAGAUCCUUCAAGUGAAAGCCGACCAGAGUUGAUCAAUUUGGAUGUAUAUGUUCCACCCGAUGAGCGAUUGAGCCCAAAGAGAGUGUCAGAGUUGAUGUUAUGUGUAGUCCAGGCUACUGCACUUAUUCCUGAGCCUGAAUCCGCGAAGAACUCUUCCAGAACCUUCAAGGAUUUAAAGCAGCUGCAAAGGGAAUUGAUAAGUGAUAAGGACAAAAACAAGGCAAUGCCCAAGUGGGUAAGGAAACAACUGAAGCAAAUUGUAUCCAGAAAACUCUACCAACUUAUGAAAACUCAAACAAGGCAACAUAAGCCCCACAAGAAAUGUCUAAUAAUACCUUCUUUGGUCAAACAACAGCCGAACAGGUUUNNNN
Molecule: long non-coding RNA, 1740 nt
Filed under: Carica papaya (papaya)
Lineage: Eukaryota; Viridiplantae; Streptophyta; Magnoliopsida; Brassicales; Caricaceae
Description: long non-coding RNA (CPAP_LNC012107)
Source: RNAcentral